AUUAGUCUGAGGAAACAGACAGCAACAACGCUGAUUACAGCCACCGGCCUCAACAAUUUUUUUUUCUAACUAGCAAUUUCGAGUGCAAGUGCCACAGUGUCAGCUAAAGAAACACAACUGCGGGUUUUCUGCAGAGCAAAAUGGUUCUGAAAUGUCACUGAAUAGCUCACAAAGGACGCCAAUCUACGACAACAGAGACAUAAGCAUAUAGGAGAAAGGGUCCACACAUCCUCCUUUCAAAGUGUGGAGAAAAGAGAGAGAAAGGGAGAGAAGAGUCAUGGACCCUACUUUAUGGUUGCCAUGGAUGCAAGCCUCAUCUCCAUUCCUUUCUACUUUGAACAUAGCAAGUCCUGGAGGCUGCUGGGUCGUCUUCCAGCCACAAGGUGGCUCCCCCAAUCCCUUCUCUCAAGCCAAUCGAUGUACACCUUUGCUGAGUUCUCCAGGCGGACUACAAUUCAGAGCUAAUUAUGAUCUAUAAAUGCCAUUAUUUUCAUUGUGAAGUAAAUGGCUUAUGACCAAGACCCUGGUACACUAAGAUACAAUGCAAAAUUAGUCUUUAAAAAUAGGAGAAAGAAAAAUACCUUUGUAUUUGCCUAAUUUCUCUUCACCCAUCCUUCCAAAAGUACAACUGAGCUAUCCUUAGAGUAAAAUAAGAAAAAUAAUAAAAGGCUCCAGAGGAACCUAAUUUUGUUGUCAAUGAACAUAGUCAUAGACUAGACAAGGUCAAAUUUUAAGAAAAGUAUACAACUUAUUCUCACUUAAACUAGACCUACUUUUGGAUUUGAUAUUUUACCACAAGAGAGUUUUGAUGAGAAGACUUUGCAAAACUUUCUUAGAAGUCCCACAUCAUGCCAUCAUUGAAGAACAGUGAUCUCCAAUACUGCAAGGCUUUAAAAGGAGUGGAAAUAUUACAUAUUUCCUUUUUGUUGCUUAGCAAACAUGUUGCAUAUUUCAUAAAUGUGAUUUUUAUAGAAGACAUCAUAAUUUUCUACAGCUGAAAUAGGCAUAGAAAGACAAAUCAUUCAUCCAAUUACAUGGAAGGUCUUUCUAAAAGUCUGAGUCCUAAUUUCUCACAGUUUUUCAUUUUCUGUUCUGGAGAGAAGCUAUUUAACCUUUGGGCAAGUUUCGUUUUCCUUAUCUG
This 1141-nucleotide long non-coding RNA is filed under the name Homo sapiens (human). RNAcentral's name for it is "HSALNT0390358". Lineage: Eukaryota; Metazoa; Chordata; Mammalia; Primates; Hominidae. The record is from RNAcentral.